GGGGAAUAUUGCGCAAUGGGGGAAACCCUGACGCAGCAACGCCGCGUGAGCGAAGAAGGCCUUCGGGUCGUAAAGCUCUGUCAUCAGGGACGAAGGAAGUGACGGUACCUGAGGAGGAAGCCCCGGCUAACUACGUGCCAGCAGCCGCGGUAACACGUAGGGGGCGAGCGUUGUCCGGAAUUACUGGGCGUAAAGGGUGCGUAGGCGGUCUGUUAAGUCAGAUGUGAAAGACCUGGGCUCAACCCGGGAUGUGCAUCUGAGACUGGCGGACUUGAGUGCAGGAGAGGGAAGUGGAAUUUCUAGUGUAGCGGUGGAAUGCGUAGAUAUUAGGAAGAACACCAGUGGCGAAGGCGGCUUCCUGGACUGUAACUGACGCUGAGGCACGAAAGCGUGGGGAGCGAAC
This 403-nucleotide ribosomal RNA is filed under the name uncultured bacterium. RNAcentral's name for it is "bacterial SSU rRNA". It matches the Rfam family "Bacterial small subunit ribosomal RNA", at positions 356 to 773 of the family's 1533-position model. The record is from RNAcentral.